GGCGAACGCUGGCGGCGUGCUUAACACAUGCAAGUCGAACGAAGUGGCGAACGGGUGAGUAACGCGUAAUCAACUUGCCCUUCAGCGGGGGACAACAGUUGGAAACGACUGCUAAUACCGCAUACUGAAGGAGGGGAUUGCGUUGGAUUAGCUAGUUGGAGGGGUAAUGAGUGCCCUAGGCGACGAUCCCUAGCUGGGCGGAGAGGAUGACCAGCCACACUGGAACUGAGACACGGUCCAGACUCCUACGGGAGGCAGCAGGGGGGAAUCUUCCGCAAUGGACGAAAGUCUGACGGAGCAACGCCGCGUGAGUGAUGACGGCCUUCGAGUUGUAAAGCUCUGUUAAUCGGGACGCGGUACCGGAAUAGAAAGCCACGGCUAACUACGUGCCAGCCGCCGCGGUAAUUC
This 408-nucleotide ribosomal RNA is filed under the name uncultured bacterium. Its description in RNAcentral is "partial 16S ribosomal RNA". It matches the Rfam family "Bacterial small subunit ribosomal RNA", at positions 28 to 526 of the family's 1533-position model. The record is from RNAcentral.